UUUAAAACGUUGAUGAGGUUAAAGGUUAUAGAUAUUUGUAUUCACAGAGAGCUGGUCGUGCUGAAAGCCAGUAAUACAACUAUAUCCGACAUCCCCUCGGAGUGAGCUAUUAAACGCGCAAGCCAUUAGAUAGCUUCGGGCACAACAGAGUGCCUGUUACAAAUGAAUAUGUGCUACUUAUAGCAUGUAUUCCUGAGAUAGCAAUUUGCUAUGAACAAGGGUGGUACCAUGAAAAGGCUUUUUUCAUCCCUCGC
Molecule: non-coding RNA, 254 nt
Filed under: Metalysinibacillus saudimassiliensis
Lineage: Bacteria; Bacillati; Bacillota; Bacilli; Caryophanales; Caryophanaceae
Source: RNAcentral